ACGGCGAGUGAACAGGGAAGAGCCCAGCACCGAAGCCUGUGGCCAUUUGGUCUCUAGGCAAUGUGGUGUUUAGGUCAGCUCGCGGAGACACUGUCCCACUCUAAGUCCAGCAAUGAGACUGGUAUCUGGACAUGGCCCAAAGAGGGUGAAAGGCCCGUGAGGGUGGGAACUCAGACAUGCCAGUGUCUCCCUGAGUAGACCUUGGAGUCGGGUUGUUUGUGAAUGCAGCCCAAAGUGGGUGGUAAACUCCAUCCAAGGCUAAAUACUAACACGAGUCCGAUAGCGAACAAGUACCGUGAGGGAAAGUUGAAAAGUACUUUGAAGAGAGAGUAAACAGUGCGUGAAACCGCUCAGAGGUAAACGGGUGGAGUUGAACUGCAAAGCUCCGAGAAUUUAACUGGUGAGUGUGGUAUACACUUGGAUAUAUUGGUUGGCCCUCAAAGUCUGCAGAAAACUGUGGAGGCUGUGCUAACGCGCGGCGUGCGUUGAAGCGCUUAUCAAGCGCUGUGCUCUUUGGGGGUACUUCGAACCUGCUUGCCAGUGCAUUUUCUCAGAGUGAUCACCACGACCGGCGCUGCUGUCUGUCUGCUGUGGUUAAACCGGGUGUGUAUCGUCCUUGUGGCUUUGCAUACUCGGGAUGGCAGGUAACCCGAUUGUGCUUGUCGCGAUUGGGUGUAAUCAGCUGACCAUAGUAGUACUGUACAGUGCGUCGGAGACGGCGGCUUGUGGUGCGUACAUGCGUGCAUGUUGAGUGGCGGCUUUGGGUCUGGUUAUACUGUAGCCUGUAAAAACAGGCCCUGUAAUGGCCCAGGGUUGUUCACUUGAUGGUUGCGUAUGGGGCACYUUAAUGGGCCUACAGUCUGUGG
This 866-nucleotide ribosomal RNA is filed under the name Fellodistomum fellis. RNAcentral's name for it is "partial large subunit ribosomal RNA". Lineage: Eukaryota; Metazoa; Platyhelminthes; Trematoda; Strigeidida; Fellodistomidae. The record is from RNAcentral.